GACGAACGCUGGCGGCGUGCUUAACACAUGCAAGUCGAACGGAAAGGCCCUGCUUUUGUGGGGUGCUCGAGUAGCGAACGGGUGAGUAACACGUGAGUAACCUGCCCUUGACGUUGGGAUAACUUCAGGAAACUGGGGCUAAUACCGGGUAGGAGCUCCUGCUGCAGGGUGGGGGUUGGAAAGUUUCGGCGGUUGGGGAUGGACUCGCGGCUUAUCAGCUUGUUGGGGGGGUAGUGGCUUACAAAGGCUUUGCCGGGUAGCCGGCCUGAGAGGCUGACCGGCCAAAUUGGGACUGGGAUACGGCCCAGACCCCUCCGGGAGGAAGCAGUGGGGAUUAUUGCACAAUGGGCGGAGCCCGAAUGCAGCAAGGCCGCGUGGGGGAUGAGGGCCUUGGGGUUGUAAACCGUUUUCGCAUGUGCCGAAGCGUGAGUGACGGUAAUGGGUGAAGAAGCACCGGCUAACUACGUG
Molecule: ribosomal RNA, 468 nt
Filed under: uncultured bacterium
Lineage: Bacteria
Description: partial 16S ribosomal RNA
Rfam family: Bacterial small subunit ribosomal RNA
Source: RNAcentral